UACAGAAAAGACACUUGGCAUCUUUACUUGUUAGGAAUAAAUUUAAUCAAUGAAAAACUUUGUCAAACAUAAUGUGCCAGGAUUGUUACCAUUGCACUUGACUGUAUACAAAAACUCAUUGCUUAUGGUCAUAUUGUUGGCGAUACACCAGACUCCAUUGAACCAGAGAGGCGUUUAAUUGACAGAAUUAUUGAGACUAUUUGUAGUUGCUUUACUGGUAUAAUUACUGAUGUAAACGUUCAAAUACAAAUUAUAAAGAUAUUUAUAAAGAGUAAUCUCCAACUAUUAAAGUAUUUAAUGAGAGAAAUGAUGUAUCUUUGAAGAAUUUAGCGAGGGUAACGACAUAUGUUUCUUACAUUUUUAGUCUAAUUUUUUAUUAUUUUUAAUAUUACGUCACCUACACCAGAUAUAACAUAAAGUUCACAAAAAAUAUUCUCGUACUAUAUUGAACUUGCAGAAACGAUGUUUUUUUCAAGGGAAAGAGCUAUUUGUUAUAUAAAUAUAAGAAAAAGUAUGCUAGGAAGACAAUUUGAUCUUUUUUAAAAACAGAACAUUAAUUUAA
Xenia sp. Carnegie-2017 is the source of this 562-nucleotide RNA transcript. It is a transcript of the gene named brefeldin A-inhibited guanine nucleotide-exchange protein 2-like, with no coding region annotated. The record is from RefSeq and is a predicted model, not a curated record. The transcript has 2 exons. Lineage: Eukaryota; Metazoa; Cnidaria; Anthozoa; Malacalcyonacea; Xeniidae.